This 250-nucleotide ribosomal RNA is filed under the name uncultured bacterium. RNAcentral describes it as "partial 16S ribosomal RNA". It matches the Rfam family "Bacterial small subunit ribosomal RNA", at positions 524 to 773 of the family's 1533-position model. The record is from RNAcentral.
UACGUAGGUGGCAAGCGUUGUCCGGAUUUACUGGGUGUAAAGGGCGAGUAGGCGGGAUAGAAAGUCAGAUGUGAAAUACCGAGGCUUAACUUCGGGGCUGCAUUUGAAACUUCUGUUCUUGAGUGAUGGAGAGGCAGGCGGAAUUCCCGGUGUAGCGGUGAAAUGCAUAGAGAUCGGGAGGAACACCAGUGGCGAAGGCGGCCUGCUGGACAUUAACUGACGCUGAGGCGCGAAAGUGUGGGGAGCAAAC